This is a non-coding RNA of Pelobates cultripes (western spadefoot toad), 210 nucleotides long. The record is from the annotation of a GenBank genome assembly. NCBI's taxonomy places the organism in Eukaryota, Metazoa, Chordata, Amphibia, Anura, Pelobatidae.
AUUGUAUUCUUUGCUUCUAAUUAAAUCACAGAAAAAGAAAUGCAUAAUAGGAACCUCUUUGUCCUAUCAAAUUCUAAAUUAAACAUUCUGUGCAAUAAAAGAAGUUUAAACAUUAGAUCUCUCUUUACAGGAAGUGUGUAGGAAGAAUGUGUCAAAUGCAAGGAGGUGUGGUUAGGAGCUUCAUAAACAAAGUGACUUAACUCAUAAAUG